This 800-nucleotide ribosomal RNA is filed under the name uncultured crenarchaeote. Its description in RNAcentral is "bacterial SSU rRNA". It matches the Rfam family "Archaeal small subunit ribosomal RNA", at positions 71 to 873 of the family's 1478-position model. The record is from RNAcentral. Lineage: Archaea; Thermoproteati; Thermoproteota.
GMAUUWCAAGGCGGACGGCUCAGUAACACGUAGUCAACCUAACUCGUGGACGUGGAUAACCUCGGGAAACUGAGAAUAAACCACGAUAGAUCAUAGUGCCUGGAAUGGCUUAUGGCCAAACAGUUUACUGCCAUGGGAUGGGACUGCGGCCUAUCAGCUUGUUGGUGAGGUAAUGGCCCACCAAGGCGAUUACAGGUACGGGCUCUGAGAGGAGAAGCCCGGAGAUGGGUACUGAGACACGGACCCAGGCCCUAUGGGGCGCAGCAGGCGAGAAACCUUAGCAAUGUGCGAAAGCACGACUGGGUCAGUCCGAGUGAUUCCUGAUAAAGGAGUCUUAUGCUUGUCCUAAAAGCACAGGUGAAUAAGGGGUGGGCAAGUCUGGUGUCAGCCGCCGCGGUAAUACCAGCACCUCGAGUGGUCAGGACGUUUAUUGGGCCUAAAGCAUCCGUAGCCGGCUUUGCAAGUCUUCGGUUAAAUCCACCUGCUCAACAGAUGGGCCGCUGGAGAUACUACAGAGCUAGGGAGUGGGAGAGGCAGACGGUAUUCAGUGGGUAGGGGUAAAAUCCUCUGWUCCAUUGAGGACCACCAGUGGCGAAGGCGGUCUGCCAGAACACGUUCGACGGUGAGGGAUGAAAGCUGGGGGAGCAAACCGGAUUAGAUACCCGGGUAGUCCCAGCUGUAAACGAUGCAAACUCGGUGAUGCAUUGGCUUAUGGCCAAUGCAGUGCCGCAGGGWAUCCUGUUAAGUUUGCCGCCUGGGAAGUACGGACGCAAGUCUGAAACUUAAAGGAAUUGGCGGGG